UACGUAGGUGGCAAGCGUUAUCCGGAUUUAUUGGGCGUAAAGGGAACGCAGGCGGUCUUUUAAGUCUGAUGUGAAAGCCUUCGGCUUAACCGGAGUAGUGCAUUGGAAACUGGGAGACUUGAGUGCAGAAGAGGAGAGUGGAACUCCAUGUGUAGCGGUGAAAUGCGUAGAUAUUAGGAGGAACACCAGUGGCGAAGGCGGCUUACUGGACUGUAACUGACGUUGAGGCUCGAAAGCGUGGGGAGCAAACAGG
This 253-nucleotide ribosomal RNA is filed under the name uncultured bacterium. RNAcentral's name for it is "partial 16S ribosomal RNA". It matches the Rfam family "Bacterial small subunit ribosomal RNA", at positions 524 to 776 of the family's 1533-position model. The record is from RNAcentral.